CCAAUAGCGUAUUUUAAAGUUGCUGCAGUUAAAAAGCUCGUAGUUGAAUUUCGGGACCAUCAUGUCGGUCGUGCCUCGGUACGUACUGGCAUUGUUGGUUUCUCCCUUCUGACGAACCAUGAUGUCAUUUAUUUGGUGUUGUGGGGAAUCAGGACUGUUACUUUGAAAAAAUUAGAGUGUUUAAAGCAGGCUCACGCUUGAAUACAUUAGCAUGGAAUAACGAAAUAGGACGUUUGAUUCUAUUUUGUUGGUUUCUAGGAUCGACGUAAUGAUUAAUAGGGAUAGUUGGGGGCAUUAGUAUUCAAUUGUCAGAGGUGAAAUUCUUGGAUUUAUUGAAGACUAACUACUGCGAAAGCAUUUGCCAAGGAUGUUUUCAUUAAUCAAGAACGAAAGUUAGGGGAUCGAAGACGAUCAGAUACCGUCGUAGUCUUAACCAUAAACUAUGCCGACUAGGGAUCGGAUGAUGUUAAUUUUUUAAUGACUCAUUCGGCGCCUUACG
This 499-nucleotide ribosomal RNA is filed under the name uncultured Glomeromycotina. Its description in RNAcentral is "partial small subunit ribosomal RNA". It matches the Rfam family "Eukaryotic small subunit ribosomal RNA", at positions 591 to 1092 of the family's 1831-position model. The record is from RNAcentral. Lineage: Eukaryota; Fungi; Glomeromycota.